This 492-nucleotide ribosomal RNA is filed under the name Ctenisodes sp. 'Pilopius' QH13. RNAcentral describes it as "partial large subunit ribosomal RNA". It matches the Rfam family "Bacterial large subunit ribosomal RNA", at positions 1897 to 2605 of the family's 2925-position model. The record is from RNAcentral. Lineage: Eukaryota; Metazoa; Arthropoda; Insecta; Coleoptera; Staphylinidae.
GGUUUAAUCUGCCCACUGAAUCAUUAAAUGGCCGCAGUAUAUUGACUGUGCAAAGGUAGCAUAAUAAUUAGUUUUUUAAUUGAAAACUGGAAUGAAAGAUUGGACGAGAAAAAUACUGUUUCAAUUAAAUUAUUAUAUAAUUUUAUUUUUAAGUAAAAAAGCUUAAAUUUUAUUAAAAGACGAGAAGACCCUAUAGAGUUUAAUAUUUAAUUAAUUUUAAUUAUUUAGGAUUUUUAGAUUUAAUUUAACUGAAUAUUUUAUUGGGGUGAUAUAAAAAAAUAUUAAACUUUUUAUUAUUUUAACAAUAAUUAUUGAUUUUAUGAUCCUUUAGAAAGAUUUAAAAGAUAAAAUUACCUUAGGGAUAACAGCGUAAUUUUUUUUGAGAGAUCUUAUUAAAAAAAUAGAUUGCGACCUCGAUGUUGGAUUAAGGUAAAAAUUUAAUGGAGAAGUUAAAUGAUUAAGUCUGUUCGACUUUUAAAAUCUUACAUGAUC